Molecule: small RNA, 535 nt
Filed under: Pan troglodytes (chimpanzee)
Lineage: Eukaryota; Metazoa; Chordata; Mammalia; Primates; Hominidae
Description: processed transcript
Source: RNAcentral
CAUGGAUUAAGGGGACCAGAUUCCUCCAUACAGCUUGUUGAGGGACUUGGUGGGUGCCCCUUGCUCUUGGGGUCUUCCUACUUUGGCUGCUAUGCUCAACCCAGACCCAGCCUCUUCCUGGAAUUCUCCUUUCAACACGCACAGAGACAGAACCCGGCCCGGACUUUGCAGCCAGUAAUUGUGUGCAAUCACCUGGGACAGUGCUGCAGAUGGCUCGUUCGGAACACCACCUGGAUACGGCUGCGCUGCAGACCGGGCAGAGGAGCAGCGCCGGCACCAAGAUGGGCUGCCCUACAUUGAUGACUCGCCCUCCUCAUCGCCCCACCUCAGCAGCAAGGGCAGGGGCAGCCGGGAUGCGCUGGUCUCGGGAGCCCUGGAGUCCACUAAAGCGAGUGAGCUGGACUUGGAAAAGGGCUUGGAGAUGAGAAAAUGGGUCCUGUCUGGAAUCCUGGCUAGCGAGGAAACUUACCUGAGCCACCUGGAGGCACUGCUGCUGCCCAUGAAGCCUUUGAAAGCCGCUGCCACCACCUCUCAG